AAAACUUUCAACAACGGAUCUCUUGGUUCCCUCNUCNAUGAANAAACGCCACCGAAAUGCGAUAAGUAAUGUGAAUUGCAGAAUUCAGUGAAUCAUCGAAUCUUUGAACGCACAUUGCGCCCCUCGGUAUUCCGGGGGGCAUGCCUGUUCCAGCGUCAUU
RNAcentral lists this ribosomal RNA (160 nucleotides) under Usnea florida. RNAcentral's name for it is "5.8S ribosomal RNA". It matches the Rfam family "5.8S ribosomal RNA". Rfam says of the family: 5.8S ribosomal RNA (5.8S rRNA) is a component of the large subunit of the eukaryotic ribosome. It is transcribed by RNA polymerase I as part of the 45S precursor that also contains 18S and 28S rRNA. The record is from RNAcentral. Lineage: Eukaryota; Fungi; Ascomycota; Lecanoromycetes; Lecanorales; Parmeliaceae.